Mustela putorius furo (domestic ferret) is the source of this 93-nucleotide small nuclear RNA. The record is from Ensembl. NCBI's taxonomy places the organism in Eukaryota, Metazoa, Chordata, Mammalia, Carnivora, Mustelidae.
GUGCUCAGUUCAACAGCAUAGAUACUAAAAUUGGAAUGAUACAGAGAAGAUUAACAUGGCCUCUGCACAAGCAUGAUAUGCAAACAUAUUUUU